Long non-coding RNA from Serinus canaria (Common canary), 1693 nucleotides. RefSeq lists it as uncharacterized. The record is from RefSeq and is a predicted model, not a curated record. The transcript has 4 exons. NCBI's taxonomy places the organism in Eukaryota, Metazoa, Chordata, Aves, Passeriformes, Fringillidae.
GCAGUACGAGGUGUAGCAAGUGGAGGUGAGAAUUGUCUCUCUUUUCUCUGAUUUUCUCACAGACUUUUCCCAGCACCAUGCCUGGGAAGGUGACCUGUGUCUCCCUGUGACCAGCCAGAGCUGCUGCUGCCACAGCUCCCCACGGCCACAGUGAGGCAGCAAAAUCCAAACAGGCUUCCCUGGUUUGGGUUUUUGUCCUAAAGCAACUCAGGAAGGAGUCCCUGAGAGCUCUGCCAAGUGUGCUGCAGGAAAAGACUGGUGGGGGUUCACCUCCAGCAGUACCCGAUUCCUUUUGUGCUUUGCUCCUGCAGGAACUGAGCUGGGUGAGAGCGACACAAACUUUUCCAGACAUUUCCACUUCAGGGUCCUGUUGGGCUCAGCAAGCACAGCAUGAAACCAUUCCCUGAGCAGUCACUGAAGCCUGAAUCAAAAGCAACAAGAAAAGGACCCUUCUCUUAUAGGUUUGCCAGAAAUGAGGCACACACACCUGUCAGGGUGAUGUGGGUGCUGAGGAACUUCACGGAGAGGUCAUCUCGAGUGGGAUUGCAGGAGAAGCAGGGCAUCAGGCCCAGCCUGGGUUAGGGCAGGUCCUGCCUGCCCAGCCUGAUCUCUGGGACCAGCUGACCUGCCCAGGGGCUGAGGCAGAGGGAUGUUGUCUACCCAGACUGCAGCAAAACCUUCAACACCAUGACCUGCUCUCUCUGGUGUUUGGAUCUUCCAGCUCAUCUGAGGGUAAAACCUGCAGUUCAGAAGGGAGGAGUGUUUCUGUGCUGCUGAGACAAGGGCACACAAAGGCCAUUUGUUGUCUGAAUGCUGCAGAAAUGGCCUUCUCUGGCAGAACACAGAGGGAGCCAAAACCCAGCCUUGGAAGCUCCUGAUGGAAGAUGCUCCAGGUGUGUUUCUGUUCAGCUCCCUCAUGUAAGAGUGGUGCUGCUCUGAGUGCUGUGGCAUGAAGCUUAGUGGUAUAGAAAGUGGAAGAAAUGUGUGGUGAUGCCUAUUAGCAGAGGCUAAAAAACAUUUUUAACCUUAUUUAAUUCAGGUACAAAGCAAUUCCUAUGCAAGACAAACAAAUGGAGGAUCUGAGCUCUUUACCAUAACAGGUGUUUGUUUUCUGCAGAGUUCAGAUGCUGUGACCAUUUAAAAAUGGAAAUACAGUUAAUGGUGAAAGCUUGUAUGUGACACAUCCACUCAAAUGUGCAGCAGAACCCAUGGCCUUCUAUAACCAGAAGGAAAUAAUAUUCUGUAAGAGGGCUAUGAUGUGGUUUCUCCCUGUCAGAGAGAGGCAAAGGAAGAGAGAGGAAAUAUUCAUUUCAGGCAGAGGAGAAGGAGAGACUUCCAUCAAGUCUGUCUAGUGUUGUCAACACCCGAGAGAAAUAUUUCAUGCUUCUUUAUAACUUUACUAAAUCAUAUGGGAACAUCAGGCUCUGAAUAAAGAAGAGCAUGGAGGAAAAGAAUGACUCAAAAGUUGAUCUGCUUUACUGUAAGCACAGCUAAACUCUGGGCACGCACUAUUCCUGAAACUGUUUUCCCUGCUCUUAAGGUUUAUCCUUGAAGUCUCUGACUUGCUGCAGCUACUGGAGGAAAUGAAUGUUGGUUGGAGUCUGUACAGGAUGUUUGUAAUUCUUCUAGUGGUAUAAAAAUAACUUUCCCAGUUUUGAUUAUGUUGAGUCCUCGUAAAGACAAUUUUGGGUUU